RNAcentral lists this ribosomal RNA (492 nucleotides) under uncultured bacterium. RNAcentral's name for it is "partial 16S ribosomal RNA". It matches the Rfam family "Bacterial small subunit ribosomal RNA", at positions 29 to 507 of the family's 1533-position model. The record is from RNAcentral.
AGUGAACGCUGGCGGUAGGCCUAACACAUGCAAGUCGAACGGCAGCGCAGUAAGAGCUUGCUCUUACGGGUGGCGAGUGGCGGACGGGUGAGGAAUACAUCGGAAUCUACUUUUUCGUGGGGGAUAACGUAGGGAAACUUACGCUAAUACCGCAUACGACCUACGGGUGAAAGCAGGGGAUCUUCGGACCUUGCGCGAUUGAAUGAGCCGAUGUCGGAUUAGCUAGUUGGCGGGGUAAAGGCCCACCAAGGCGACGAUCCGUAGCUGGUCUGAGAGGAUGAUCAGCCACACUGGAGCUGAGACACGGUCCAGACUCCUACGGGAGGCAGCAGUGGGGAAUAUUGGACAAUGGGCGCAAGCCUGAUCCAGCCAUACCGCGUGGGUGAAGAAGGCCUUCGGGUUGUAAAGCCCUUUUGUUGGGAAAGAAAAGCAGCAGGUUAAUACCCCGCUGUUCUGACGGUACCCAAAGAAUAAGCACCGGCUAACUUCGUG